This 492-nucleotide ribosomal RNA is filed under the name uncultured bacterium. RNAcentral describes it as "partial 16S ribosomal RNA". It matches the Rfam family "Bacterial small subunit ribosomal RNA", at positions 29 to 507 of the family's 1533-position model. The record is from RNAcentral.
AGUGAACGCUGGCGGUAGGCCUAACACAUGCAAGUCGAACGGCAGCACAGUAAGAGCUUGCUCUUACGGGUGGCGAGUGGCGGACGGGUGAGGAAUACAUCGGAAUCUACUUUUUCGUGGGGGAUAACGUAGGGAAACUUACGCUAAUACCGCAUACGACCUACGGGUGAAAGCAGGGGAUCUUCGGACCUUGCGCGAUUGAAUGAGCCGAUGUCGGAUUAGCUAGUUGGCGGGGUAAAGGCCCACCAAGGCGACGAUCCGUAGCUGGUCUGAGAGGAUGAUCAGCCACACUGGAACUGAGACACGGUCCAGACUCCUACGGGAGGCAGCAGUGGGGAAUAUUGGACUAUGGGCACAAGCCUGAUCCAGCCAUACGGCGUGGGUGAAGAAGGCCUUCGGGUUGUAAAGCCCUUUUGUUGGGAAAGAAAAGCAGCAGGUUAAUACCCCGCUGUUCUGACGGUACCCAAAGAAUAAGCACCGGCUAACUUCGUG